AGAGCUUUCGAGACGCCGUCCAUGAUACGGUCGUUGAGAUUCUUUAGGAUAUGUAUCUAUACGAUCAGUUAGGCUCAUUAUCACAACUAUCAUAGUAGAUAAGUCUAUUAAUAAAUUUUUUUAUUUAUUUUAAAUUUUUAUAUUUAGAAGCUUCAUAUAUUUAGGUUUGAGCUCGGAAAAGAGAUAUAGGAGAUACAAAUUCAAUCUAACCAUCCAAACAAUGGAUCGGGGGUGUCAUAGCUCUAUAUCAUCGAAUGAAAUAUAUAAAAAUAAUCUGUUCGAGAAUCAAAAUAGUAUAUUGAAAUAUAUAUCUUCAUAUCGAUAUAUAUAUAUAUAUAUUUUUAUAUCAAAAUUUAUUAAUAAUAUUUUAUUUUUUUUAUUACAGGAUGUUGGGAUAUUCAGCUCUCAUCCAUCAGCUACUGGAGAGGACGUAC
Molecule: long non-coding RNA, 434 nt
Filed under: Elaeis guineensis (African oil palm)
Lineage: Eukaryota; Viridiplantae; Streptophyta; Magnoliopsida; Arecales; Arecaceae
Description: long non-coding RNA (EGUI_LNC004941)
Source: RNAcentral